GUAGAUUCUGCAAUAAUAUUAUUAUCAAAUCCUCUGGCUGAAAAAUCAAGGAGAUCAUCAGCAGGGAAUCCAUGUUCCUUCCCUCUAUCCACAAAAUCCAUUUCAGAAUGAACCGAGUGUGAAUUUGGCUGACAUGAAACUGACUCUACUGCAUCUGAAUCAGGGAUGCUUGUGUCGUAUCUCUCUCUGUAUACUUGUAGCUUGGACUUGGGUUGAAACCUUCUGGUACUCUGCCCUGAAUAAACAUUAGAAAUUAAAAAUGAGUGCGGCACAUGAUAAAGUGCAGGUGCAGGAACCUGAAAAUUC
Molecule: long non-coding RNA, 306 nt
Filed under: Nicotiana benthamiana
Lineage: Eukaryota; Viridiplantae; Streptophyta; Magnoliopsida; Solanales; Solanaceae
Description: long non-coding RNA (NBEN_LNC001789)
Source: RNAcentral